GAUGAACGCUAGCGACAGGCUUAACACAUGCAAGUCGAGGGGCAGCGAGGAGAUAGCAAUAUUUCUGUCGGCGACCGGCGCACGGGUGAGUAACGCGUAUGCAACCUACCUAUCAGCGGGGGAUAGCCCGGCGAAAGUCGGAUUAAUACCGCAUAAUAUAUUAGAGCUUCAUGGCUUUAAUAUUAAAGAUUUAUCACUGAUAGAUGGGCAUGCGUUCCAUUAGGUAGUUGGUAGGGUAACGGCCUACCAAGCCAUCGAUGGAUAGGGGUUCUGAGAGGAAGGUCCCCCACACUGGUACUGAGACACGGACCAGACUCCUACGGGAGGCAGCAGUAAGGAAUAUUGGUCAAUGGACGAGAGUCUGAACCAGCCAAGUCGCGUGAAGGACGACGGCCCUAUGGGUUGUAAACUUCUUUUAUUGGGGAAUAAAAAGGGUCACGAGUGACCCCUUGCAUGUACCCAUAUGAAUAAGCAUCGGCUAACUCCGUGCCAGCAGCCGCGGUAAUAC
This 508-nucleotide ribosomal RNA is filed under the name uncultured bacterium. RNAcentral's name for it is "bacterial SSU rRNA". It matches the Rfam family "Bacterial small subunit ribosomal RNA", at positions 28 to 526 of the family's 1533-position model. The record is from RNAcentral.